This 68-nucleotide transfer RNA is filed under the name Heterotermes crinitus. RNAcentral's name for it is "tRNA-Asn". Lineage: Eukaryota; Metazoa; Arthropoda; Insecta; Blattodea; Rhinotermitidae. The record is from RNAcentral.
UUAGCUGAAACCAAAAAGAGGUAUAUUAUUGUUAAUAAUAAAAAUGAGUCAAAGUAAUUCCAGUUAAA